RNAcentral lists this unclassified non-coding RNA (400 nucleotides) under soil metagenome. Its description in RNAcentral is "partial contains 5.8S ribosomal RNA, internal transcribed spacer 2, and large subunit ribosomal RNA". The stretch from base 1 to 122 matches the Rfam family "5.8S ribosomal RNA", at positions 35 to 154 of the family's 154-position model. The record is from RNAcentral.
GAUGAAGAACGUAGCGAAAUGCGAUACUUGGUGUGAAUUGCAGAAUCCCGUGAACCAUCGAGUCUUUGAACGCAAGUUGCGCCUCAAGCCAUUAGGUUGAGGGCACGUCUGCCUGGGCGUCACAUAUCGUUGCCUGAUGCCAGUUUCCUCGUGAUGGGUGACUGUGCAGGGCGAAUGAUGGCUUCCCGUGAGCAUUGUUGCCUCAUGGUUGGUUGAAAAUUGAGUCCUUGGUAGGGAGCGCCGUGAUAGAAGGUGGUUGAGUGACGAACGAGACCCAAUCAUGUGAGACCCCUACCGAAUUUGGCCUUCAUGACCCACAUGCGUCUUUGGAACGCUCAUGACGAGACCUCAGGUCAGGCGGGGCUACCCGCUGAGUUUAAGCAUAUCAAUAAGCGGAGGA